GAGAUGGUUCAGUUAGUACAGCAUGAAUCUCUUAAUCUCAUGUUUGUGGGUUCAAGCCCCAUGUUGGGCA
Non-coding RNA from Podarcis lilfordi (Lilford's wall lizard), 70 nucleotides. The record is from the annotation of a GenBank genome assembly. Lineage: Eukaryota; Metazoa; Chordata; Lepidosauria; Squamata; Lacertidae.